UACAUGAGUGGCGAGCGUUAUCCGUAAUUAUUGGGCGUAAAGGAUACGUAGGCGGUAAAAGUAGUUAUAAUUUACUAUAACAGAUAGCUGGGUCUUUUAUAAAACCUUUUUACUAGAGUUUUUCUAUAAGUACAUGUACGGUGUAAAUUAGCGAUAAAAUGCUUUGAGUUUACACUUCUCUUCAAAUGCGAAAGCAAUGUACUGAUUAAAACUGACGCUGAGGUAUUAAAGUAUGGGAAUCAACUAGGAUUAGACACCCUAUUAGUCUAUACUAUAAACUAUGAGUAUCAAGAUUAAAUAUCAAAGCUAACGCUUAAAAUACUCCGCCUGGGCAGUAUAGUCGCAAGGUCGAAACUUAACAGAAUUGGCGGGAAUUUGAUCGAACGGUGGAACAUGUGGUUUAAUACGAUAAUCCGCGCAAAAUCUUACCAAGGUUGUUAAAGUUAGUAGAUAUCCGCUAAUCCGGAUUUUUCAUUUAGGCUUUAACAAGGUACUGCAUGGCUGUCGUCAGUUCGUGCUUUGAGGCAUGGAAUUAAGUUUUAUAACGAACGAAACCCCCUUAAUUAGUAUCAAAAUAAUCUAAAAAUUUGAUAAUAAACAAUUAUGUUUAUUAAUUUUUGAGGUUAUUUUUUCUAAUUUUACGAUCUAUUCCCGUAAAUAGAUGGAGGAAAGGGCUGAAGUCAAGUCAUUAUGGUCUAUGUAUCUUGGGCUACACACGUGUUACAAAGGUAGAAACAAAGAGUAGCUAAAAAGUAAUUUAGAGCAAAUCUCCAAAAACUAUCUUAAUUCAGAUUGUCCCCUGAAACUCGGAGACAUGAAGUUGAAAUCGUUAGUAAUCGUAGAUUAGUACGCUACGGUGAAUGAAAAACCAAAUUCUGCACACACCGCCCAUCACGCUCUGAGAAUUAAAACGUUUCGAAGAAUCUUAUCUCUUCGAUUUUUGAAGUGGUUCAGUGUGGUUUAAUAUUUAUAAAAAAGAAAAAACUAAACUUUUUUGAUUUAUUUUCAAAAAAUGCUAUGACGACCGGAUUACUAGAGCGGUUUGAUUAUUUGAGUGAAGUUG
This 1063-nucleotide ribosomal RNA is filed under the name Bresslauides discoideus. Its description in RNAcentral is "partial small subunit ribosomal RNA". It matches the Rfam family "Bacterial small subunit ribosomal RNA", at positions 524 to 1488 of the family's 1533-position model. Lineage: Eukaryota; Ciliophora; Colpodea; Colpodida; Hausmanniellidae. The record is from RNAcentral.